Molecule: long non-coding RNA, 780 nt
Organism: Cryptomeria japonica (Japanese cedar)
Lineage: Eukaryota; Viridiplantae; Streptophyta; Pinopsida; Cupressales; Cupressaceae
Exons: 2
Source: RefSeq, a predicted model, not a curated record
CAACCCAUUAUAUGAUAAGUCUCUUGCCCGUCACUCCAUAUCACUAAAUUUUAUGUGCAUAUAGUUUGUUGGAGCUUAGAAUUGAAAUAGAGAAAUCCAUUUUUGCCGUAUUCCCUUUACUGUUUUUGCUUACUGUUGCAACAUUGACUUUGUCAAUGAGGGAAGCAGCGGAGCUAGGGUAUGGUUUCGCAGAUUUGUCCAGUGAAGUUCAACGAUUAUUUAAGGUUCGACCAAUAUGACUUUCUGCAGGUAUCCUACUUCAAGUUUAUCUUUCAAAGAAUGAAGAUGCAAGUAGUAUUUCAAGGAGUAAUCAUGACGAAGUUAGAGGCCAAAAUCUAAAUUAUUGAAGAUGAAAUAAAGGAAGAAGAGGUGGUCAAGGAGGAAGAGGCAGAGGCUGAUUUAAUAAGAGAAAUAUCCAAUGUUAUCAUUAUAACACGUUUGCCUAUUUUUAAAAAGAUUAUAUAUUAAAAUCAGGUAAUAACAAUAAAAAUAAUAAUUAUGCUCAGAAGAGUGAAAGGCUUCCUCAAGUAAUUUAUUUUUAUCCUAUGGAAAAUUUGAAAAUGAUGUGAAAGAUGUUUGGUAUUUAGACUCGAGAUGCUCAAACCACAUAUCUAGUAAUAAAGAGCUAUUUUCUAACAUGGAUGAAAGUUUUAAAUCCAAGAUAAUGCUUUGUAAUGACAACACUUUGGACAUUGUAGUGAAAGGAGCCAUGGAUGUUCCUAUGAAGGAACGUAUGAAAUGUGUUAAAGAAUAAUUUUAUACUCGACAAUUGAAGCACAA